ACUCAUCUCAUAUGUAAGUCGCUCUGGAUAAGAGCGUCUGCUGAAUUGCAUAAA
This is a non-coding RNA of Salmo salar (Atlantic salmon), 54 nucleotides long. NCBI's taxonomy places the organism in Eukaryota, Metazoa, Chordata, Actinopteri, Salmoniformes, Salmonidae. The record is from Rfam.